This 1439-nucleotide ribosomal RNA is filed under the name uncultured organism. RNAcentral's name for it is "SSU rRNA". It matches the Rfam family "Bacterial small subunit ribosomal RNA". The record is from RNAcentral.
UCUACAGGCUUAACACAUGCAAGUCGAGGGGCAGCAUGGUCUUAGCUUGCUAAGGCCGAUGGCGACCGGCGCACGGGUGAGUAACACGUAUCCAACCUGCCGUCUACUCUUGGACAGCCUUCUGAAAGGAAGAUUAAUACAAGAUGGCAUCAUGAGUCCGCACGUUCACAUGAUUAAAGGUAUUCCGGUAGACGAUGGGGAUGCGUUCCAUUAGAUAGUAGGCGGGGUAACGGCCCACCUAGUCUUCGAUGGAUAGGGGUUCUGAGAGGAAGGUCCCCCACAUUGGAACUGAGACACGGUCCAAACUCCUACGGGAGGCAGCAGUGAGGAAUAUUGGUCAAUGGGCGAGAGCCUGAACCAGCCAAGUAGCGUGAAGGAUGACUGCCUUAUGGGUUGUAAACUUCUUUUAUAAAGGAAUAAAGUCGGGUAUGGAUACCCGUUUGCAUGUACUUUAUGAAUAAGGAUCGGCUAACUCCGUGCCAGCAGCCGCGGUAAUACGGAGGAUUCGAGCGUUAUCCGGAUUUAUUGGGUUUAAAGGGAGCGUAGAUGGAUGUUUAAGUCAGUUGUGAAAGUUUGCGGCUCAACCGUAAAAUUGCAGUUGAUACUGGAUAUCUUGAGUGCAGUUGAGGCAGGCGGAAUUCGUGGUGUAGCGGUGAAAUGCUUAGAUAUCACGAAGAACUCCGAUUGCGAAGGCAGCCUGCUAAGCUGCAACUGACAUUGAGGCUCGAAAGUGUGGGUAUCAAACAGGAUUAGAUACCCUGGUAGUCCACACGGUAAACGAUGAAUACUCGCUGUUUGCGAUAUACGGCAAGCGGCCAAGCGAAAGCGUUAAGUAUUCCACCUGGGGAGUACGCCGGCAACGGUGAAACUCAAAGGAAUUGACGGGGGCCCGCACAAGCGGAGGAACAUGUGGUUUAAUUCGAUGAUACGCGAGGAACCUUACCCGGGCUUAAAUUGCAGAUGAAUUACGGUGAAAGCCGUAAGCCGCAAGGCAUCUGUGAAGGUGUUGCAUGGUUGUCGUCAGCUCGUGCCGUGAGGUGUCGGCUUAAGUGCCAUAACGAGCGCAACCCUUGUUGUCAGUUACUAACAGGUUCUGCUGAGGACUCUGACAAGACUGCCAUCGUAAGAUGUGAGGAAGGUGGGGAUGACGUCAAAUCAGCACGGCCCUUACGUCCGGGGCUACACACGUGUUACAAUGGGGGGUACAGAGGGCCGCUACCACGCGAGUGGAUGCCAAUCCCAAAAACCUCUCUCAGUUCGGACUGGAGUCUGCAACCCGACUCCACGAAGCUGGAUUCGCUAGUAAUCGCGCAUCAGCCACGGCGCGGUGAAUACGUUCCCGGGCCUUGUACACACCGCCCGUCAAGCCAUGGGAGCCGGGGGUACCUGAAGUGCGUAACCGCGAGGAGCGCCCUAGGGUAAAACUGGUGACUGGGGCU